Molecule: ribosomal RNA, 253 nt
Filed under: uncultured bacterium
Lineage: Bacteria
Description: partial 16S ribosomal RNA
Rfam family: Bacterial small subunit ribosomal RNA
Source: RNAcentral
UACGAAUGGAGCGAGCGUUGUUCGGAAUCACUGGGCGUAAAGCGUGCGCAGGCGGUCUUGAAAGUCAGAAGUGAAAGCCCAGGGCUCAACCCUGGAAUUGCUUUUGAAACUCCAAGACUAGAGUACUGGAGGGGUUGGCGGAAUUUCGAGUGUAGCAGUGAAAUGCGUAGAUAUUCGAAGGAACACCGAUGGCGUAGGCAGCCAACUGGACAGUUACUGACGCUCAUGCACGAAAGCGUGGGGAUCAAACAGG